This 4343-nucleotide long non-coding RNA is filed under the name Nicotiana benthamiana. Its description in RNAcentral is "long non-coding RNA (NBEN_LNC018347)". Lineage: Eukaryota; Viridiplantae; Streptophyta; Magnoliopsida; Solanales; Solanaceae. The record is from RNAcentral.
AAAAUUAAAAUAAUAUUCCUACCAAAAAUACUAAUAUUCUUGAAAAUAAAGUGGAACUAUUUUUAUAGGUUCGAAUAUAUGUAAGGUUGAUAAACUAAGACUAAAUAGAUUAAAUAUCAAUUAACUAAAUAAAAGAAAAUAUUUUCGUGAUUUUUAUUUUUGAAAUAAAAUAAAGUAAAAGAGUCAAAACUAGUUAAAAUAUCGUUAUUAGACCUAACUCUAUAUUUAAAUGCUAAAAUGUGUAAAAUUUCAAGAGGGUAAAAAAUUAUAUGUCUAUAGAGGGCUUCCCUUCGAACUUGCCAACUUGCAUGCUCCACCAUACUUUUAGCCUGUGCCUGAAUCGCCUUGGCGUCAACCUUGAACUGGGUCACUCUAGCAUCAGCCUCGAUCUUGGCCACAAACACCUUUGAUUUGGUUGCCUCGAGUUCCUUGACCAGAUUCUCUUGACCAGAAAUAGCUAAGUUUAGUUGAGAUUGGAUCUCCUCGAUCUUAUUUUCCUGCACCAAGGUUUUCUCUUUUGUAGCCCGUAGCUGGGACUUGGCCAACAGCCAGUUGUGCUUGGACAACUUCCUUUUUCGAGGCUAAGAUAUCCACAUUUUUCUUGAACUCCUCAGCCUCAGCUUGUAUCGUGUUUACCUGCGCUUAGAGCUACCCGAUUUGUACAAGCCUCUAUCAGACAUGCAUGAUAGAUUCGUUAGCCACUGUGGCCAAUUUGUCGUCACAAUCUUGAAAUACUCGAUUUACUUGCUCUUCCAUCUCGGCAUGCUCCCUCCGAGCUGCAUCUAACUUGGCCUGAAGCUUCUUAUCGAGAAACUUGCAGGUGUCCCUUUUCUUAGUAAACUACCAAACCUCAGCCUUGUGUUAUGUUAACUCCAACCGGUAUCAGCGGAAAGAUGCAGUACCGAGGCCUGAAAGCAUAAAGGAAGGUGUUGUGUUUAUUUACAACUUCAAAUUUAAAAUACAAAAUAAAAAAGACACUCGGAGUUACCCGAUUCAGCACAUGUUGAGCUACAUUGAAUACGUAGGGCAUUUCCACCUUUUCCAUCAUGGCCUAGUCCUCUUCGGUCACAAAACACCGAAGAUAGCUGGCAACCCCUACGGAGGCAGAGAAAACCCGACCGUUUUCUAGGAUAGAGAAAACUGUUGAUCUCUUUUGGUCAGGGUCAACACUCGGGAUCGGGAACUGGUCCAAUAACUUUGGGCUCGAGGAAGACCCACUGGCUCCUAGUGAUGGUACCUUCUUUAGCACCGGUAAGUCUUCGAGCCCAGUGACAUCUUCUGAGGCACAAGACUCUAACCCAUCUAAGAAGUUAUGGAUAUAUGUAGCCCUAUGAGGCCCCUUGUAAGAACGACCUUCUAGCAUAGCGGUCUCAUGGAUCAAGGCAUCUGAGAAAUGUUGAGGCCUAAUAAUGUGAAUCACCUCAAGCACAUAUUUCAAGGCAUUUUCCCUUGCUCGAGAAGCAUCAUCCUCGAUUUCCUUUUCGACUCAUCUAGCUCGAGGCGAACUGGCAUCACCCCCCUCGGGUUCAGGAGCUUCGACUAAAGUGCUUCUACCGACCUCCUCAAGUCGAGGCGAUUCAAUUUCAACAACCUCCGAUUCGGAGGCCUCUCGUAUCAAGACACCUGCCCGCACGCAGGCCACCAACUUGGAUUUAUCUUCUGUUUCUUCGGACUCAUUCCUUAGCCGGUGGAUUGAGUUCGAGGAUAGAGCACUGGUGCUUCCCUUGGGUUUACUCACUCCUUUUCAGAUUUUUCUUUUUCGAGUUUGGAGAACUCGAGGCCCUUUUUCAUUUCUUCUCGUCACCCUGCCUCGAGCGAGGGACUCGAGAGACAUAUCCCCAUCACUGGAUGGAGGCCUCAAAGCAACAUCUUUGGUGAGACCUAUAAAAGGAAACAGAAUCGAUAAGAAUUUGAUAGCGUAAGAAGAAUAUCAAACAUUAUUUCAGUAAAGAAAACUUACCUUGAUUACGGGCUUCCCACCGGAACUUCGACAAUUUGCGCCAUGUGCGUGGAAUAUGGUAUUUGUGACACAAGAUUCUCGACCCACUCCUUGAGUCGAGGAACUGCAUCCGGCAUUUAAGCCACAACAACACCUUAAAAUACCGAUAUGAUGGAGGGAAUAGGAUAAAUAAUAUAUAUAAUCUUUAAGGCAACGUUAUACUUACACUUCAUGUUUCAUUUCUCAUGAAAUGGUAUGUCAUCGGUAGGGAUCAAGUCCGAGGUCUUCACUCCCUUUUACUUUACUUCUCGUCACCCUGCCUCAGAGUAGGGGACUCGAGAGGCACAUCUCCAUCACCGGAUGGAGGCCUCAUAGCAACAUCUUUGGUGAGACCUAUAAAAGGAAACAUAAUUGAUAAGAAUUUGACAACGCAAGGAGAAAAUCAAACAUUAUUUCAGUAAAGGGACCCAACGUGAAGGGGAAAGUGUAAACACUUAAAAAACCCUUCACGUGGAUAGUAAAUGAUUCCUCAGGCAAGGGCACCACCACGUGUUUAUCGGCACAACUACAAUCCUCUUUGACCUUGGAGAGGAGAUCAUUGAUGAUCGUACAUAUAUAUAUCUCGAGACCGCCUCGCAUAGACUUGGUAUCACGAAAGUUUUUUCGAUCUUCAAAUAAGUAUGGAUCGGGCACCCUCUUAGAACGAACUCUUCAGGGUGUGGCUCCACUGCAAUCCCAUUGCCGAUAGGUCGUGAUGAAGAGGCUGUUUCUUUAUAUGGAAUAGUCUUAGAAGUUUUCGUCAUUUUAAAGCAGAGAUGAAGAAAAGGAAAUUAAGAAGGUACGCUUAGUAGUUGAAAAAAGGUCCAAGAAAUCUAGGUACAGAAGUUGGUGAAUGAAGAGAUUCUUAAAGGACAAGAGUAGAAGAAGCUUUUGAACAUAAAGUUUGAAUGAAUGAAACUUGGGACAUUUAUAGUUUGCUAAUGACGGUUCAAAACCAGUAGUGACUGACCAACACUGACACACAUUUAAUGCCUUGGAGACUGAACCGACGGGACAUUCCAGUUACCUUUUGUUGCUUACAUCAUGAUCUGUCAAAGCGAGGUUCGAAAGUUCUUAUCAUUUCUCGGCAUCUCCUCUCCAAAAAUCAAGAGGAUUAUCUGUCACACCCUUUUUUUAGCAACCUCACUAAACAUCUUAAAAUAAAUAAAGAUUUUUAAAGCUCAAAAAGGGUUUUUAAUUAAAAGUGACAAAAUUGUGCUCAAAAGGGUUUUUAGAGUCGCCACCUGACAUUGGUUUCAAUGUGCCAGGUCAUCAUUUUUCAAAAAAUGAUUUUCCUUUUAAAACACUUUGAACUCCAAAACUAAGUCUACACCAGAGAUUUCGGUAAGGGGAUUUAUUCGACUCGGGGAGAAGGUGUUAGGCACUCCUCAAGUCACGUAAAAGUCACAGUUGCGUACUCGAUCUUGUUGGGCUUUAAAAUAUUCAAAUUGAGGUAAAAGUAAACACAAAAAAGAAAAAUAAGCAAGAGGCUCGAGGUCGUCCUCAACUAAUAAAAGAAAAAAAGAAAAAAAUAAGAAUACCGUUCUAUACUUCCUCAAAGUGUUCCAUUGUUGGCCUUCAAAUACAAAUUACUUCGGGGCAUGCCCCGAAUAAAAAUGUAUACAAACUUCGCAGGGCAUUCCCCGAAUAAUAAACUAAAAGAAAUGACCUCUUGCCUCAAUUAAACUAGAACCAAACGCCCUAAAUGUUUUCCUAUCUAAGUGAAUCGGCCUAAGCAUGUUCCUAGUGGUAUGUAAGAAAAGUAAAGCAACUGAAUUAUUUUUAAAACCAGUUUUUGUUAGUUAUCUUAUAAUAUCCAAUUUUGACCCCAAAUUCACUAUUCUCAAAAUCUCAAUUCUCGUUUUCCAAUUUAAACUAUAUUAAACAUGGUCCAUUAAUUCAAUGGCUCACAUUUUAAUUAGUAGGCUUUCAACAAAAUUUCAAUCACGAAAUCAUGGAUCCAAACACUGGAAAACAUGGAUUAAGCUCGGAAUUAUCCAUAAAUCGAAUACAAACUAUAACAAACAAGCAAGAACAAUCACUUUCUGGAUAAGCUUUCCAAUUUAAACUAUAGUAAACAUGGUCCAUUAAUUCAAAAGCUCACGUUUUAAUUAGCAGACUUUCAACAAAAUUUCAAACACGAAAUGAUCUAUCCGAAUACUGGAAAACAUGGAUUAAGCUCGAAAAUAUCCAUAAAUCAAAUACAAACUAUAACAAACAAGCAAGAACAAUCACUUUCUGGAUAAGCAAAUUUCACAGAAUCAAUCAGUUGUCCAUACAAUUUAACCACAGAAAUCUAAUCGCCUUUGAAUGAUUCUUUAAAACUCAAUCCAUAGUAAGGAAAGAAAUAGGAGAAAAGAGAUGA